UACGUAGGGUGCGAGCGUUAAUCGGAAUUACUGGGCGUAAAGCGUGCGCAGGCGGUUCGUUAAGUUCGUUGUGAAAGCCCCGGGCUCAACCUGGGAACUGCAAUGGAAACUGGCGGGCUUGAGUGUGGCAGAGGGGGGUGGAAUUCCGCGUGUAGCAGUGAAAUGCGUAGAGAUGCGGAGGAACACCGAUGGCGAAGGCAGCCCCCUGGGCCGGUACUGACGCUGAGGAGCGAAAGCAUGGGGAGCGAACAGG
RNAcentral lists this ribosomal RNA (253 nucleotides) under uncultured bacterium. RNAcentral's name for it is "partial 16S ribosomal RNA". It matches the Rfam family "Bacterial small subunit ribosomal RNA", at positions 524 to 776 of the family's 1533-position model. The record is from RNAcentral.